Long non-coding RNA from Humulus lupulus (European hop), 885 nucleotides. RefSeq lists it as uncharacterized. The transcript is spliced from 3 exons. The record is from RefSeq and is a predicted model, not a curated record. NCBI's taxonomy places the organism in Eukaryota, Viridiplantae, Streptophyta, Magnoliopsida, Rosales, Cannabaceae.
CUUCUUCUUCUUCUUCUUUUUCUUCUUUUUUUUCUCUCUAUGCAACAACCCACGACUGGGUACCAGGAAGCCAUUGCCGGAGUUUUCUUUUGCCACCACGCGACGGAGUUGGAGCACCAGUGGCCGGCGACAACCCCAUCCCCAAAAUCUUAGGGCCAUCGGAGUUAAGACGCGCACCAACGGAGCAGUCAAAGUUUCGUCAUCAAAAGUUUGACCGCGGUUUCCGGCGAACCCAGACCUCCAUUCGGUGAGUGGAUGGUACCGUUAGAAUCAGCGUCGCGAGAGGAUCGUCACUCACUAAUUCAUUCCGGUCAACUCGCCAUUUUUCUCCGGACUGAUUUUGGGUAUCUUCGCCCUUUUAGAAGCAUUUUCCAGUGACACCGGAGGUCAUUUGGGCGAAGGAGCUGUACUUUCGUGAUGUACUCAUCGAGAUGAUGGUUUUGAUAUAUGUCAUGCAUAUAUUCGUCGAUGUUUCCGGUACCGCCACCAACUGCUAGUGUGCACCGCUUGGGAAAAACGUGAUAUAAAAAUCGGACUAAAUCACUCUAAAAUCAUCGUUAAGCUUAGAAACGUCGCUUUGGGCUCGGAUUAAAUUCUAAGGAGGUAUCUAAAGAGGAGCCUAGUGACGCGAACGUGGAAAAGAUGAAUUAUCGAUGGAGCCAAUGUGUUUUGCCUAUUUCUAUUUCAUGUCAUUGUCUUAUCUUUUGAGCAUUGAAUAUGUAUUCGACUUCGAACCUAAUGAUCGGUAUAUCUAAAUGAGCUAUGAAAUAGUUAGCGAUGAGGAAUGGUGGAUGCUAAGUAUUAUUUUGGGUGUUUAUGACUUAUUAAAUUUAACUAUUUGGUGAUUACAUAAAUGUGGAAAUAUUAUUGUUUUAUGUAUAAUGA